RNAcentral lists this ribosomal RNA (987 nucleotides) under Plasmodium knowlesi. Its description in RNAcentral is "SSU rRNA". It matches the Rfam family "Eukaryotic small subunit ribosomal RNA", at positions 638 to 1428 of the family's 1831-position model. Lineage: Eukaryota; Apicomplexa; Aconoidasida; Haemosporida; Plasmodiidae. The record is from RNAcentral.
ACAUAACUGAUGCCUCCGCGUAUCGACUUUGUGCGCAUUUUAGCUAUUAUGUGUUCUUUUAAUUAAAAUGAUUCUUUUUAAGAUUCAUCUAUUAAAAAUUUGCUUCGGCAUAAUUUUUUUUGAUGAUCUUGUUACUUUGAGUAAAUUAGAGUGUUCAAAGCAAACAGAUAUAGCAUUUGUGCGUUUGAAUACUACAGCAUGGAAUAACAAAAUUGAACAAGUCAGAAUUUUUUUGUUCUUUUUUCUUAUUUUGGCUUAGUUACGAUUAAUAGGAGUAGCUUGGGGGCAUUUGUAUUCAGAUGUCAGAGGUGAAAUUCUUAGAUUUUCUGGAGACAAACAACUGCGAAAGCAUUUGCCUAAAAUACUUCCAUUAAUCAAGAACGAAAGUUAAGGGAGUGAAGACGAUCAGAUACCGUCGUAAUCUUAACCAUAAACUAUGCCGACUAGGCUUUGGAUGAAAGAUUUUAAAAUAAGAGUUUUUCUUUUCUCUCCGGAGAUUAGAACUCUUAGAUAGCUUCCUUCAGUGCCUUAUGAGAAAUCAAAGUCUUUGGGUUCUGGGGCGAGUAUUCGCGCAAGCGAGAAAGUUAAAAGAAUUGACGGAAGGGCACCACCAGGCGUGGAGCUUGCGGCUUAAUUUGACUCAACACGGGAAAACUCACUAGUUUAAGACAAGAGUAGGAUUGACAGAUUAAUAGCUCUUUCUUGAUUUCUUGGAUGGUGAUGCAUGGCCGUUUUUAGUUCGUGAAUAUGAUUUGUCUGGUUAAUUCCGAUAACGAACGAGAUCUUAACCUGCUAAUUAGCGGCAAAUACGAUAUAUUCUUAUGUAGAAUUGAAUAUAGUGGAUUUGUUAGAUUUUGAAGAAAAUAUUGGAAUUACGUUAAAUGUGAUUCCUUUCCCUUUUCUACUUAAUUUACAUUUCCAUCUAUUUCUUUUUUGCGUAUGAAUGUAUUUGCUUGAUUGUAAAGCUUCUUAGAGGAACGAUGUGUG